Molecule: long non-coding RNA, 706 nt
Filed under: Homo sapiens (human)
Lineage: Eukaryota; Metazoa; Chordata; Mammalia; Primates; Hominidae
Description: HSALNT0324222
Source: RNAcentral
ACUCUGGGAAGGCAACCUAGGAAGGGUGGGGCCCUGGGGCCUUUUGAGGAGCUAAGUGGCCAAGGAGAGUGCUUUGUGAGUCUCUUGUUGGAAGGACUGUCUUUAAAUUAAAGCAAUUAGAGUUACUUUAUAAGAUUUACCCAAAUAUAAGAGCUGAAGAGAAUAAUUCAAAUUGAUCAGAAGAAAAUACUCAAUUACUGACAAAUGUCAAUUACAUCAAUAGCCUAGGCUGCUCUUGAACUCCUGGGCUCAAACGAUCCUCCCCUGUCGGCCUCCCAAAGUGCUGGGAUUACAAGCUUGAACCACCAUGCCCAGCCUCAGAAAUUUUUUAAAUGACAGCUCAUACAGUUUUCUUUUAUAAAGGAGGAGAAAAUGUGUAAUUGUAAGCAGCUGAACUAAAAUAUCUCUGUGACAUUUUGCUGGUGACUCCAGCCCUGUGAGAUCUGAGUGGCUCAGGAAUCAAAUUCUCCCACAAACCUGAGGAAGCCUUUUAUUCUUAAUGCCAACAGGAUGCCCCAUGCCCAGAAUGUCAAAUCUGAACACCAAUGGAAUGCAUUUUAUAAACAAAUUGAAAAAGGACAAUCUUUAACAGAAUUGUUGUUCUCUAGGCAGAUUAGUUGUGCUUCAAAUACAAAAUGAAAUAUUAGAGAACAAAAUUAUUUUUAAACAGCUAAUACUAGUAGAAAAUAAAAGGCUGAAAAGUGCU